GCAUUGAUAUUUGUCAAUAGCACAUGGCGUUGGGUCCCCAAACCUUCCUCUAUGUCCACUGUUGAGUGGCUUGAGAACCCCUGUCAAAAGUUCUACCUGUAUCGGUCUGCCUGUAUCAUACAGUUCAUACUCUUCUCUCUUUCUGUCGGGAGAGAGAUGCAAGCUACUUCAUAUCUUCCCUUUUGUUUGAUUCUCCUUGUGGUUUUGGUUCUUUUUCCAUGUUCAUGGUACCCUCUAGCCACACAACAGUACGUUGGCUGUUCUCUAACCACACCCUGGUGCGGUUCCCGGAACAGAAAAUACUCGAUCUUAGAGACCCAGAACCCCAAAUCCAUAGCUCACUCGGCUGAGACCACUCAUCACCCACUAGACCCACUUAGCAUACAAGAAAUCAACAAGGUCUUAGCCUGAAAAUGAGUUUAGAGAAUACUUAGUUUCAAGGAAGAAGAUGAAGAAGGCAAUCCACAAGUCCUUGCGGGAUUUGACGAGCAAGUGUGACUUCUCUACCUAGACAAAGAACGUGAAACUGUGGGUUUAGAAGGCUUAUUAAGAGAGUUAGAAGAGCCACCCUCACAGUGUUUGAAUACUUGUUGGCAUUUAUUUCUGGGCCAAAGGUGCAUCCAAAGACAAAGGGAUGGUCUUUAGUAUCCAGAUUGAUGCACUCCAAGCAUAUUGCAUCUGAGGAAGAAGCAGAAUCAAAAGGUAUAUAGGUGCUGCAUUCAACCCCAACAUCAGCCAAAAGAGAACCAACUCUCUCUUUUGCGUUGAGAAUUCAAGACUUUGAUGGAAGACUAAAAGCCUGUUUGGGCAUCUUAUUAAAACCAGAAUGUCCCUUGUCAACAUCCUCAACCACUAGUUUAAAAGCCUCACACUGAUAAGCCAUAGACAACCAAAAUGUUUGUCAGGAUACAUACAUACUUGUACAUGAAGGAGAAAUACUUUAUACUUUUUCCAUAUAAAUAUACUCUUUGUGCCCAAAUCAACACUGUACUCCUCUUUUCCUUUCCUUCACCAAAGCAUUCUUUGCACAGAUAUUGAUACUUCUGUCAUAUAUGAUGCAGAAUCAUACCUAUGAAGAGAGAUCAAAUCAAACAUAAUUGGUCUUGUAGAAGGUAAACUGAAGUUGUCCAUACAUUUUCCAGAAGGCACUAGUGGAGUGUGAAGGUAAACUGACUUCUCUGCAUUUUGAUACUCCAUAAAAAAUGAAGUGCCUUUGGCUUUAAGCUCCUACCAUUUUUUUUGUACCUGAAGGAAGUUACAUUCCAUUCCAUUUGAUUCUAAUAAUCAAAUUCCCAAGCAGAUGACUCAAAUGCAAGAUCCAUGAAUGUAAUAACAAACCAAUUGUUUGAUAACCCAGUUCUGGUUUGUAAUAGCAAGCACAGUUGAGACCUGGAACAGAAGGAAAAAUCCCCAUCAAAUUUAGUACUGACAUGAGCUUCUAAUCUUGGAUGUCCAGAAUUAUACAAGAAAACCAUCCAGUACUGUGAUCAUAAUCAUCAACCCUUCUGAUGAAAUUCUUGGCCAAAUAAUUAACAAUCAAAUUUUAUUUGGCUAUUGAAUUAUGAGUGUGUUGGUGUAGAUGGUUAAUAAACUGAUUUGUUGGAUGAUACUGCUAAAAUUACAUUAUAAUGCUGAUUGUUUAUGCUUUAAUUUUCAGGAUAGUGUAUCAGAAGCAGUGAAGAUCCUGAAGAAAGAGAUUACUU
This 1703-nucleotide long non-coding RNA is filed under the name Vitis vinifera (wine grape). RNAcentral's name for it is "long non-coding RNA (VVIN_LNC000767)". The record is from RNAcentral. Lineage: Eukaryota; Viridiplantae; Streptophyta; Magnoliopsida; Vitales; Vitaceae.